CCUUAUUGUUACUAGUUGUUUCCGGAAUAACAUGUCGAGGUCAGAACGUCACUUAUGUUUCAAUGUUCGUUGAAGAAACGUUUUCGUAUACGAUUUACGAUUGAAUUGUAUGAUUAGGAAAAAUAUUGAUAUAAAUAAUUAAAAAUGUCGCUUUGCUUUCGUACCAUUUCAAAUAAAUUUACAUCGUUUGUAAAUACGAGAAAACAAGUUACGACCAUCGAUUGUCGGUUGCCAAAAAACAUAAAAUCUUCUUCAUUUUUGAAUGAGUUUUUUGGACCUCAGACUGCGGUGGAUGCAAAAACAAAAUUAACAGAUAGUGAUUUCGAUAUUUACGCAGGUGUCUAUUCAUUCCAUCAAAAAUUGGAAAAAGAAUUGAUUAACAGUUAUAAAAAAAAUAAAAAUGAAAUUGUACAUAUAGCACAGCAGAGCUGUACUAAUCACAGUAGGUUCUUUAAUACGGAACCAGUUUUAAAUAAUUUGUUGCUAUAUAACGUUAGUAUAGAUUGUAAUAAAAAGACGGAAAAUGAAUCUUCAACAAGAGAUAUCUUCCAUAUCGUAAAUAAUAAUAAUAGAUUGCGUUCUAAUAAACAAAUGUUGAGUACUAUUGUCGAUAAUCAUUUGGAGCAAAAUAAUGUUUUACUCACAAAUGGUGGAAUCAUUAAAGCACAAGAAGUUAAUGAUAAACAAUCGAUUCAAAACAGAGAGGGUAGACCAUCCAAAGAACAAUUAGAACUUGUAUUUACUAGUCUUAGAAAUGACUUACCAAAUUUCUUCGUUAAAACAUUAGAUUACACAAUAUAUUCGGAAAAUUUAAUAUUUAUUAAUAAUAUUAAAGGAUUAGAAACGAAGGGUAUUUUUAAUUACAUGAAACAAAUAACUUUUAUAAGAACAAUUGGUCAUUUAAAAUUUGCAUAUAUAAAAUUAGAUGUAUUAAAAAUAACUAUUGAUCCGGAUGAUGAUACGAUAAAAGUACGUUGGCGAAUAAGCGGUAUUACAGGGCUAAGAGCGCUUUUUACGAUAUGGAAAUUUAAAUUUUGGAGAAUAAAGGAAGCUUUAAGCGAUGCAGAAGUAUGGUACGAUGGAUUUUCGACGUAUUAUGUAGGUGCCGAUGGUAAAAUAUAUAAGCAUGUAAUGGACAAAUUGAUGCCCGAUCAAAGUAAACUUUACGAUAAAGAAAAAACAGAAGUUGCUACAAAACUUGCACUAUUCAUAGGAUUAAAAAAUCUGCAAACGCAAAAUAGUUGAAAUGAAUUUAUUACAAUGUUGAAAAAUCAUAUGCUCAUUGUAAAAUGACGAGAAAACUAAAAGGUUACACAAGUAGCGAAAUAAACACAAUUUAUGUACAUUAAUACAAUCUUAUCGACGCUUGUUAAGCGCUGUCAUUUUUCACAGCGCAUCCUUGUAAUAAUGAAAUAGAUUACAUAGAUUUUUGAAAUUUCGUUUAAUUUUAAAUAAUGUGUAAAUAAUUUUGACUUAACAAAAUAAUAUUAAAUCAAUUUACUAUUUGCGAAUCAAUAUAUCUGUCACUAAAAUAUCUUUACUUUUAUUUAUAAACAUUUAUUAACGCAUUGAAUGCCACAGGGAUCAUCAGUGAGCAGUGAAACCAAGAUUAUUAGAAAUAUAAUUCAAAUAAAUUUCAAUGGUUUUGGAUUUUUCAAUAUUAUCAUCGUUAUUACAAUGAUGUGAAGAAAUUCAUUCAAUAUAAAAUAUAUCAAAAUAGUUUCAUUUAUAAUAUGUGACAUGUGUAUGCUUAAAUAUUAUGCAUGCGUAUAGUGGAUGUUUUGUAUUAAACCACUUCAAACAGAGGAAAGGCUCGUAUGUGAAGAAAGGAAAUCUCUUCCAUUGUACUAUCUCGGCAUUUUGUUAAUCGAGCCAAUACAAAAAAAUGCAUUUCAACACCGCACAAGUUACGUGUGACCCCCCCAGUAAGAUAAAUGCAUUGCCAAUAAUUAUAAACUUUAACUUAUCUGUUCUAAAUAACAUUUCAAUAUAAUGUGUAACACAUAACAGUAAGUUCGUGUCUGCAUUAUGGGCAAGCCAUGUAAAAUUAACGUGGCAUUCAAUGUAUUAAAUAAAAAGAUAAAUAAAAUCUUAUAAUAGUA
RNAcentral lists this unclassified non-coding RNA (2102 nucleotides) under Polistes fuscatus (common paper wasp). RNAcentral describes it as "uncharacterized LOC122517566, transcript variant X3". Lineage: Eukaryota; Metazoa; Arthropoda; Insecta; Hymenoptera; Vespidae. The record is from RNAcentral.